GACGAACGCUGGCGGCGUGCUUAACACAUGCAAGUCGAACGGAAAGGCCCUGCUUUUGUGGGGUGCUCGAGUGGCGAACGGGUGAGUCACACGUGAGUAACCUGCCCUUGACUUUGGGAUAACUUCAGGAAACUGGGGCUAAUACCGGAUAGGAGCUCCUGCUGCAUGGUGGGGGUUGGAACGUUUCGGCGGUUGGGGAUGGACUCGCGGCUUAUCAGCUUGUUGGUGGGGUAGUGGCUUACCAAGGCUUUGACGGGUAGCCGGCCUGAGAGGGUGACCGGCCACAUUGGGACUGAGAUACGGCCCAGACUCCUACGGGAGGCAGCAGUGGGGAAUAUUGCACAAUGGGCGGAAGCCUGAUGCAGCAACGCCGCGUGCGGGAUGACGGCCUUCGGGUUGUAAACCGCUUUCGCCUGUGACGAAGCGUGAGUGACGGUAAUGGGUAAAGAAGCACCGGCUAACUACGUG
This 468-nucleotide ribosomal RNA is filed under the name uncultured bacterium. RNAcentral's name for it is "partial 16S ribosomal RNA". It matches the Rfam family "Bacterial small subunit ribosomal RNA", at positions 28 to 507 of the family's 1533-position model. The record is from RNAcentral.